UACGUAGGGGGCAAGCGUUGUCCGGAAUCAUUGGGCGUAAAGCGCGCGUAGGCGGUCCGAUAAGUCUGCUGUGAAAGUCGGGGGCUCAACCCUCGGAUGCCGGUGGAUACUGUCGGGCUUGAGUGCGGAAGAGGCGAGUGGAAUUCCUGGUGUAGCGGUGAAAUGCGCAGAUAUCAGGAGGAACCCCGGUGGCGAAGGCGGGUCUCUGGGCCGAUACUGACGCUGAGGAGCGAAAGCGUGGGAGCGAACAGG
Molecule: ribosomal RNA, 252 nt
Filed under: uncultured bacterium
Lineage: Bacteria
Description: partial 16S ribosomal RNA
Rfam family: Bacterial small subunit ribosomal RNA
Source: RNAcentral